RNAcentral lists this ribosomal RNA (253 nucleotides) under uncultured bacterium. RNAcentral's name for it is "partial 16S ribosomal RNA". It matches the Rfam family "Bacterial small subunit ribosomal RNA", at positions 524 to 776 of the family's 1533-position model. The record is from RNAcentral.
UACGUAGGGGGCAAGCGUUGUCCGGAAUUAUUGGGCGUAAAGAGCUCGUAGGCGGUCAGUCGCGUCUGCUGUGAAAACUCGGGGCUUAACUCCGGGCCUGCAGUGGGUACGGGCUGACUAGAGUGCGGUAGGGGAGACUGGAAUUCCUGGUGUAGCGGUGAAAUGCGCAGAUAUCAGGAGGAACACCGGUGGCGAAGGCGGGUCUCUGGGCCGUAACUGACGCUGAGGAGCGAAAGCAUGGGGAGCGAACAGG